This is a long non-coding RNA of Cotesia glomerata, 180 nucleotides long. RefSeq lists it as uncharacterized. The transcript has 2 exons. NCBI's taxonomy places the organism in Eukaryota, Metazoa, Arthropoda, Insecta, Hymenoptera, Braconidae. The record is from RefSeq and is a predicted model, not a curated record.
UUAUUUUAAAAAUAAAUUUUUAUUUAAACAUUAGAUUAAAGUUGUUUACUUUUUUUUAUAAAAAUGGCACUAUUUGAAGAUUACCUAGAUAUAGAAGCGUUGGAAGAUGAAAUAUCACUAGUUUAUGUUUGAGGUAUAUGUAUGGAGAUUUGCAACAGUUGUUUAGAUCAUAAUUGUUUA